AUCAUAAAGAAUUAAAUACACGGUUUUAUAAUUAUAAUGGACAAUUAAAAGAUAGUUUUAGUUUAGAUAAUUUAUAACUAUGACUCUUAUUUUUUCUAAUAUUAAUUAAAUUGUAACUAUUGUCAUAAAUUUUUUUUAUUAAAUGCUAUUUACAUGUCAUCAAUUGAUGUUGUAAAAUUGCUAAAUGGACAAAUUAAAAAAAUUCAUUUUGAGACCAGCUUUAUUAUAUUUAUUUACAUUUAUAUAGAUGUAGAUAUAGACAUAGAUCGAUCUAGAUAUAGAUAUAGAUGUCCAGCCUAAUAUGUGCAGUUCAAAUACAUUGCAUAAGUCCACCCAGGCAUGUGAAACCUAUAAUUUCUCAACUCCUUCCUGUGACUACAAAGAUUUCCAUUUAAACUAAAAGGUUCAAAAGUUCAAGAACAGGUAACAAGAUACAUAAUAGCAUAAUGAGCUUGUAUUAUCGGUUCUUUUGCCCAUAUGUAGAUAGUCAAAAGUUACAAACCACAAAAUUAGUUUUUUU
RNAcentral lists this unclassified non-coding RNA (520 nucleotides) under Hevea brasiliensis (rubber tree). The record is from RNAcentral. Lineage: Eukaryota; Viridiplantae; Streptophyta; Magnoliopsida; Malpighiales; Euphorbiaceae.